RNAcentral lists this ribosomal RNA (372 nucleotides) under uncultured organism. RNAcentral describes it as "bacterial SSU rRNA". It matches the Rfam family "Bacterial small subunit ribosomal RNA", at positions 526 to 896 of the family's 1533-position model. The record is from RNAcentral.
CAGAGGGGGCAAGCGUUAUUCGGAAUUAUUGGGCGUAAAGGGCGCGUAGGCGGCUUUUCAAGUGACGGGUGAAAUCCCUCGGCUUAACCGAGGAACUGCCUGUCAGACUGCAAGGCUUGAGACCGGGAGAGGUGAGUGGAAUUCCCAGUGUAGCGGUGAAAUGCGUAGACAUUGGGAGGAACACCAGUGGCGAAGGCGGCUCACUGGACCGGAACUGACGCUGAGGCGCGAAAGCGUGGGGAGCAAACAGGAUUAGAUACCCUGGUAGUCCACGCCGUAAACGAUGAGUGCUUGGUGUAGCGGGUAUCGACCCCUGCUGUGCCGAAGUCAACACAUUAAGCACUCCGCCUGGGGAGUACGGUCGCAAGACUG